GCUAGUCUCUGACGUGAGAUCUCGUUACCGAUCAUCUCAUAUGCCAGUCUGACCGAAGAGCAACCAGUGCAGCAGUGCAGAUGAAUAUUCUGAAAAUCAACAAACAAUAAACGAGAGAAGGUUCUGGUCCUUGGCGUCCUGGAGGCUUGAAAACAUCAGAUUUCGACAGGGGAGAGCGGAGGUGGACUGACUAAGUUGUCCUUGAGAGACUCUGCCUGAAAAGCAUCAAUGCCUGCCGACUUAGGUAUUUCCACGAUGGUUAUAUUUGCACGCACAGACUGGUAAAGUCCGGGCAAAUUGGAGCUACACCAUAACUUAUUUAUUUUCUUCCCUGUUCAAUUACGAACACAUCUAAGAUGGAGACGUUAAUCUCUCAGCUUCUCCAGCUACAUGCCUCCUGCUUGUGGGGGAAAAGGAAAGAAUGAACGGGGAGAGAAGAAUACUCAGUAAUUACAAAUAUUAAGGGAAUCUACAUUUUCUUUUUUGGCAAAUGGUAAGACUUUAUUCCCAGCCAAGUCUGGUGACAAUGUGAUAUACCCCAUCAAUAUUUAGCUGUUAAAGUAGAGGGAAGAGAUUGGAGGAAUUUCAAAGAUACUUGAAGCCACAGCAGUGUUCCUGGAAUCUAACUCCUGGUGGCGAGCGCAUCACUGAAACACAUUGGCUGUCUGAGGUUUGGCAUCUGUGCUAACAUCUUUGUGAGACAUCACAGUCGCACCUCAUGUGUCACGUGCUAGAUGGCGUUUAUUGAUCAUCGGGCCUGCAGGAAUUCAACAGAGCUUGUUAUUAGGGACAUUUUUAGCCUAUCCAAUUCUUAAAAAGGAGUGUCACAGUUCUGGCACAGAAAUACUAACCUGGUUUAAGAAAAGAGAUUAUAUUUUUUUAAACUGACCAGCAUCUUACCCAAUAAAAUAGGUUAAAAUAAAAAAAAAUCAUGAAAGGAACAUUGUAAAAGAGAAAUCCAGAAAGAACGGUGAGGGACUUGGCUUGUUUAAGUGGAGAAGGAGAUUCGAGCCGACUCACUCCACAUAGUUAUCCUCCUGUGUGUGGUUGUCUACACUGGACUGUUCCUUAAAUACUUUGGUUGUCAUCUCCAGACACUGGACUUCUUUAGAGACUCAAGGGGCAAGAGGCAGCACACCCCCCCCCCACCAAUGAAUGAGAACCUAUAUAUCAAUAUCAUGUCCAGUAGUUUUGGCAACAAGUAACAGAAAAUUGAUUCAAGCUGGCUUACACAGGGGUCAGCAAACAGCGGCUUGUAGAUUGACCAGCUGUUUGCUGGAACACGUUGACAUGUUCCCUUCUGGCAAAAGAAGGCGUUCCAGUGGCUAUGGGAUAUAAAUUUUCAAUCAGAUGGUGCCAGUUUAGAACACUUGUCCACCACUGGAGCAGGAUGGUUGCCAUAGAAAUGCACAUUUCUGACUCGUGUGGAAGCCUCUGUGAUGACGGGUGGCCUGCAGCAGCAAUGAGACCUGCAGAUGGGGGGUUGGGGGUUUGGCUCAGUGGUAGAGCGCUUACCUAGGAAGCGCAAGGUCCUGGGUUGGGUCCCCAGCUCUGGAAAAAAAAGAACUUGAUGAAAAAGAACUUGAUGAGACCUGCAGAUGGUCAGUCAGUGGAUAACUGCUUCCCGAUGACCAGACCCCAGACCCCAGGAGCCUGCAGGACUCUUCCCCAUCUUUAAACAUUUAUUUCCCUCUGUAUCUCUGAUUCACUGGGUUUUCUCUCUACCUGGUUCCUUUCACCCUCCCCCCCACACAGUGGAAAGUACAAGCACGAGCUUUUCAGACAUCGUUAGUCUUCCUGAUUGAACUCAUGUCCCCAGUCUUAUUUCCAAAUUUUUAGAGAUCACUUCUGAUCAUCCCAGUCAAGUUAGGGUCAUCCCUCAAUCAGAAGCGGGGUCUUCGAGGUCUAGGGAAAUUCUCACUAUAACCACAGGAGCAGAUUUAGUCUGCAAGAGAGAGAGAGGCAGGCGAGCCCAUGGGUAUUGGCUAAACGAAUUUACUUCUCUAUGUCAGACACAGGCCAAAUUUUUCCAUUCUAAGUAAUUAGUUGCAUGGAAAUAAUUUUUCAUCCGGGGAAAUGCAGACACAAAAAGGGUUCAUUCAGACAAGAUAUCACGUCUUUCAUAGAAGGCUGCAAAGGUAGGAAUGUGGUCUGGCAUCGCUGUCCCCCAAAUACAGUAUUAUCCUUGUCUCCAUGCUCUGAGACGGCGGCAAGUUAAGUCCACAGUUUUAGGCAGCAGAAGGAAGGGACUAAGAAAAGGCAAGAGUUACACACUAACUGUCAUUUAAGGAAAAUUCCAGAAGUUGACAUAUCCGAAUAGUGCAAGCCUAAUCUCAAAUUCUGUUCCAAAUCUAGAAAUAAUUUAAACACUGAAAUGAAACCACAACUGGAAAAUCCCACAUCGCGAAACAUUAUUUUAUGCUCCGAGUUAUUACAGGGACUCUACAAGCCUGCCUUAGGCACGGUGUAUCUGGGGGAAAAAAGGAUGAAUUUCCUGUUUAGAUGCCUCGCUCACAAAUACAAAGCCCUGGGUUCAGUCCCUCGCACCUGUAAUCCAGGAAAUGGAGACAGAAGGGUCAGAAGUUCAAAGUCAUCCUCAGCUAUAUAGUGACGUCAAGAAAAGUGAAAAGAAAAGCAAAUAUUCAAAACUCUAAAGGAAAAGAACCUGAAACCCUCAACACUUUUGGUCCCAAGCACUUUGAACAAGGGAAACUCCACCUGUCAUUCUACCUCCUGUCUCUUCAAGAGGACGACCUCUUUCUCUUUCAUGGACUUCAGUUUGCCCGUCUUAAAGAAUGAAUCCUCGUUUUUAUUACUAUAGAGCAAGAAAACAUGUACUAAGGGAUUAGUGGUGACCCUGCUGUGGGAUCAGUAGUGACUGCGUACUGGGCUUUCAUUUUCAGACUCUGCAAGACAAAACGAGCUCUUUAAAAAUUUUACAAUGUGA
Molecule: small RNA, 2947 nt
Filed under: Rattus norvegicus (Norway rat)
Lineage: Eukaryota; Metazoa; Chordata; Mammalia; Rodentia; Muridae
Description: uncharacterized LOC102547136
Source: RNAcentral